GAUGAACGCUGGCGGCGUGCUUAACACAUGCAAGUCGAACGAGAAAUGGAGACGUACACCUUCGGGCGGAAGGCUUCAUUUCGAGUGGCGCUCGGGUGAUUCCCGCGUGGGUAGCCUGCCUCCUACAGGGGGGUGACAGUUGGACACGACUGCUAAUACCGCAUAAGACCACACCUCCGCACGCUCCGGGGGUAAAAACUCCGAUGCGAUGAGAGGGACCCGCGUUCGAUUAGCCAGUUGGCGGGGGAAAGGCCUACUAAAGGGACGAUCGAUACCCGAGAUGGGAGGAUGGCUGGCGACACUGGGACGGGGACGCGGUCCAGACUACUGCGGGAGGCAGCAGUGGGGAAUAUAGCACAAUGGGGGAUACCAUGAUGGAGCGACGACGCGUGAGUGAAGAAGUACGGCGGUAUGUAAAGCUCUAUCAGCAGGGAAGAAAAUGACGGUACCUGAGUAAGAAGCCCCGGCUAACUACGUG
RNAcentral lists this ribosomal RNA (478 nucleotides) under uncultured bacterium. RNAcentral describes it as "partial 16S ribosomal RNA". It matches the Rfam family "Bacterial small subunit ribosomal RNA", at positions 28 to 507 of the family's 1533-position model. The record is from RNAcentral.